This 341-nucleotide ribosomal RNA is filed under the name uncultured bacterium. Its description in RNAcentral is "bacterial SSU rRNA". It matches the Rfam family "Bacterial small subunit ribosomal RNA", at positions 453 to 793 of the family's 1533-position model. The record is from RNAcentral.
AAUAGCACUAUCAUUUUGACGUUAGCUGCAGAAGAAGCACCGGCUAACUCCGUGCCAGCAGCCGCGGUAAUACGGAGGGUGCGAGCGUUUAAUCGGAAUUACUGGGCGUAAAAGCGCAUGCAGGUGGUUUGUUAAGUCAGAUGUGAAAGCCCGGGGCUCAACCUCGGAAUUGCAUUUGAAACUGGCAGACUAGAGUACUGUAGAGGGGGUAGAAUUUCAGGUGUAGCGGUGAAAUGCGUAGAGAUCUGAAGGAAUACCGGUGGCGAAGGCGGCCCCCUGGACAGAUACUGACACUCAGAUGCGAAAGCGUGGGGAGCAAACAGGAUUAGAUACCCUGGUAG